This 259-nucleotide long non-coding RNA is filed under the name Zostera marina. RNAcentral's name for it is "long non-coding RNA (ZMAR_LNC005700)". The record is from RNAcentral. Lineage: Eukaryota; Viridiplantae; Streptophyta; Magnoliopsida; Alismatales; Zosteraceae.
CCCAAGUUACCAGCCCAGGCCCGCGAAGAAGUCUAGGAGUGAGGCCCAGCAAGACGAAUAGAAGAGAGCCCAAGUCAUGCCGAAGACAUUAGCCCGUUCGGAUAGUCCGGGCGGCCCCAUCAGCUCCACGAACAUUUGGUCCAGGCCCAUGAAGAAUAGAAACGAGGACCAACAAGACAGCCCAAGUCAUUCCAAGAAAGCGGGCCUGUUCAGAUCGUCCGGGCGGCCUCAUUAGCCCCCACGAACAUUGGGCCGACCA